RNAcentral lists this unclassified non-coding RNA (253 nucleotides) under uncultured Halomonadaceae bacterium. RNAcentral's name for it is "contains 16S-23S intergenic spacer region". It matches the Rfam family "Bacterial small subunit ribosomal RNA", at positions 524 to 776 of the family's 1533-position model. Lineage: Bacteria; Pseudomonadati; Pseudomonadota; Gammaproteobacteria; Oceanospirillales; Halomonadaceae. The record is from RNAcentral.
UACGGAGGGUGCGAGCGUUAAUCGGAAUUACUGGGCGUAAAGCGCGCGUAGGCGGCUUGAUAAGCCGGUUGUGAAAGCCCCGGGCUCAACCUGGGAACCGCAUCCGGAACUGUCAGGCUAGAGUAUGGGAGAGGAUGGUAGAAUUCCAGGUGUAGCGGUGAAAUGCGUAGAGAUCUGGAGGAAUACCGAUGGCGAAGGCGACCACCUGGACUGAUACUGACACUGAGGUGCGAAAGCGUGGGGAGCAAACACG